AAGUCGUAACAAGGUUUCCGUAGGUGAACCUGCGGAAGGAUCAUUAUUGAAUAAACUUAACCUGGUUGCUGCUGGCCUUUUCGAAGGCAUGUGCACACCUUGUUAUCUUUAUAUUUCCACCUGUGCACCUUUUGUAGACCUGGAUUCAACUUUCCGAUGUAAAACUCGGUCGUGAGGAAUUGCAUAACAGCUUUCCUUGUAAGUUUCCAGGCCUAUGUUUUCAUAUACACCAUAAGCAUGUAAUAGAAUGUCAUUAUUAGACUUUAUGUCUUAUAAACUAUAUACAACUUUCAGCAACGGAUCUCUUGGCUCUC
This 314-nucleotide unclassified non-coding RNA is filed under the name air metagenome. RNAcentral describes it as "partial contains small subunit ribosomal RNA, internal transcribed spacer 1, and 5.8S ribosomal RNA". The stretch from base 1 to 46 matches the Rfam family "Eukaryotic small subunit ribosomal RNA", at positions 1786 to 1831 of the family's 1831-position model. The record is from RNAcentral.